AGAGUUUGAUGGUGGCUCAGGAUGAACGCUAGCUACAGGCUUAACACAUGCAAGUCGAGGGGCAGCAUUUUAGUUUGCUUGCAAACUAAAGAUGGCGACCGGCGCACGGGUGAGUAACACGUAUCCAACCUGCCGAUAACUCGGGGAUAGCCUUUCGAAAGAAAGAUUAAUAUCCGAUGGUAUAUUAAAACCGCAUGGUUUUACUAUUAAAGAAUUUCGGUUAUCGAUGGGGAUGCGUUCCAUUAGUUUGUUGGCGGGGUAACGGCCCACCAAGACUACGAUGGAUAGGGGUUCUGAGAGGAAGGUCCCCCACAUUGGAACUGAGACACGGUCCAAACUCCUACGGGAGGCAGCAGUGAGGAAUAUUGGUCAAUGGACGAGAGUCUGAACCAGCCAAGUAGCGUGAAGGAUGACUGCCCUAUGGGUUGUAAACUUCUUUUAUAUGGGAAUAAAGUAUUCCACGUGUGGAAUUUUGUAUGUACCAUAUGAAUAAGGAUCGGCUAACUCCGUGCCAGCAGCCGCGGUAAUACGGAGGAUCCGAGCGUUAUCCGGAUUUAUUGGGUUUAAAGGGAGCGUAGGUGGAUUGUUAAGUCAGUUGUGAAAGUUUGCGGCUCAACCGUAAAAUUGCAGUUGAAACUGGCAGUCUUGAGUACAGUAGAGGUGGGCGGAAUUCGUGGUGUAGCGGUGAAAUGCUUAGAUAUCACGAAGAACUCCGAUUGCGAAGGCAGCUCACUAGACUGCAACUGACACUGAUGCUCGAAAGUGUGGGUAUCAAACAGGAUUAGAUACCCUGGUAGUCCACACAGUAAACGAUGAAUACUCGCUGUUUGCGAUAUACAGUAAGCGGCC
RNAcentral lists this ribosomal RNA (849 nucleotides) under uncultured bacterium. Its description in RNAcentral is "bacterial SSU rRNA". It matches the Rfam family "Bacterial small subunit ribosomal RNA", at positions 8 to 848 of the family's 1533-position model. The record is from RNAcentral.